Paramuricea clavata is the source of this 288-nucleotide non-coding RNA. NCBI's taxonomy places the organism in Eukaryota, Metazoa, Cnidaria, Anthozoa, Malacalcyonacea, Plexauridae. The record is from the annotation of a GenBank genome assembly.
AUUAUACAAUUAUCUUCCUCAAUAUUAACUUAUUUACAAAACUGUCACCAUUGUACUUUUGCCAAUUAAAGGCCUAUACAUGGUGUAUAAAAAAACUGAACCAAAACAAUAUAAUGUGGCCUUUAUGAGGCAUUAUUGCCAUGUUCCUUUAUCAAAUUAGUUCCAAAUUAUUAGACAGAGUGAAAUAUAGUAAGUGCUCAAUACAGGAAAUUCCAACAAGAAUACAAAUUUUGGCAAUGCUGUGUUGUUAUUUUGCAUGCCAUCUACUGUAACAAUGGAUAAUUUGAU